This 3283-nucleotide long non-coding RNA is filed under the name Zostera marina. Its description in RNAcentral is "long non-coding RNA (ZMAR_LNC005458)". The record is from RNAcentral. Lineage: Eukaryota; Viridiplantae; Streptophyta; Magnoliopsida; Alismatales; Zosteraceae.
AUUAGGAUUUAGAGUGACCUGCCAUGCGAGCGCACCCAACAAGGCAAAGGUCGAGUUCAAUGUUACCACAAAUACAUGAAAAUACAUAUUGAUCGAAAAUACAGCACGAAAGAACCGAUCCUAUCAUCUUUUAUCCAUGAGACUAAAUCAUCUAGAACCAGCCUUUUCAGCUUGCAUUUUCAAGAAAAAGAUCCAAAUCCAAAGAUUAUUAGAGACGACAUCAGUUUGAUCUAAUUCAUUGACCACGUACACCACAAUAAUCGAACAUAAAGAAAUCAAGAGACGUAGACAAUAUCAUCACAUCAAAAAUAGAUGAAACCAAAACCUGAAAAAAAAAUCAAAAUAAUAAUCAACGAGGUUAUCAACACAAGAAUCGACGUCAGUCGACACAAGAUCUGAGAAACUAAGGAUCGAUAUAAACAGAUCUGAAAAAAAAAGUAAUCAAGAAAGAAGAAAAAAAAGAGUUCAGAAUACAGAUUUGUAAUCCCAAAAGUACUGAUAAAUAACUUAUGCAAUCACAAAUAAGCAAUACAGAUUUACUGUAAUCACAAAUAAUCGCCAGUAAAAAAAAUUGAUAAGUAAAUGAAAUCACCAAUCAAAAGAUGGACGAAAGAAAGAAAAAAAUAAAAUCACUGACAUGUAAUCAACCACAUCAAAUUACCUGUAGUUUUUAAGAAACCAUAAAAUAAAAGAAAACAAAAAAAAAUGUAAAACUCUAACCUGAACAGAUCUGUAAAGAUCUUCCCUCGCAACAAAUCCGCAAAAAAACACUGUUAAAAAAUAUGUAAUAACAAGUCUGUGCGGAAGAUCCCAAAUCUGUAAUAACAAAUCUGUAAUAUCCCAAAUCCGUGCAAUAAUCCCAGAUCCGUGCGGAAGAUCUGUAGUCACAAAAGAUCCCAAAUCCAUGCAGAGUAAGACAGAUCGUGGAAGCAAUAGCAAUCUGUGCAAUCGCGGAGGAACAUUACCAUCGCAGAAGAUUUCGACAAUCGACAAUUGACAGAUCUUGGCAAUCAACAAUUAACAGACGAUCGCGGAAGAUCUCAUGACAGGCAAUUAACGAUAAUUGCAAAUCGCAAUCGGAAGACAAGUAAAUUAUAGACGACAAAUCGCAAAUGUAAAUGUAAAAAAUCACUAACCUGGAAGACGAUCGCACAAGCUCUCGUGGAAGACGAUCGCAGAAGAGACGCUUGCGGAAGGAUCGCCGAGAGAUCGCAGAAGGAAUUUCCGUGAAUUUUGGGAGGAGAAAAAAAAAAAAAAAAAAACCAGUGAAGUAAAGGAUGUGAUACCAUCUAAGAAGAGCUUAACACUGAUUAUCAUUGAAUCAAAGAUUAACGAAUUACAAAUGUCAAAUAUCCUUUUAUAAUAUCAAGAGUUUAACUACCCAAUUACUAACUAACCUAUUACACGUUAACUACACUAACUAUUGAUGAUAUAACUUCUAAUAACGGUUGUGAACAAAAAGAAAGGAGUGGAUUCUUAAAUAAUGAAAUUGUGAAUUUAAUGGAUGGUUGAUAUGUAACAAAAAAAAAAAAAGACCAAAUAUAAAUUUUUGGGUUGUUAACACCAAGUUGAAAUCUAUGCCGUAGGGAUCACUUGUUAAUUUUCUACCGCGCGUUUUCUGGUAUUUGUUACGCACUACCUAAAUAAGUUUCAAUUUGGACCCUAACUAAUUGGAAUUAAAUAGUGUGACCGUUGACUUUAUUCUUAAGGCUUAAAUAUUGAUCCAUUUAAAUUGUUAAAAACUCAAGCGGUGAUUUUUACAUACACAACCCUUUAAUUGUCGUAUUGUUUGUUUCUAUAUUUUGAGGGUCAAUUUUGAAAUUACGUCUCUCUACUAUUUCUUUAAUUGGAUCCUUUAGUUUUCCCCUUUCUUUAUCAUUCAGUUUUAUCCCUGGAUUAGCUAGCUGGGGUUCAACAAGGUUUACUAUGCAUCAUCUAGAAUCUAAUGUGAUAUUCUAAUAGUAUUGUCCUUAUGAUAUUGUCUGAUGUUUAGGUACUUUUAUUGAUGUUUUAACCCUAACCCUGAUGUGUUUGAUAUUCUAACGCAUCUCAAUUUCUAAUGUAUUUCAUAUUUUCUCUGAAGAAAAAGAUAUUGUGUUUGUUAUCUUAAGAAUUAGGAUAUCAGACAUGAAUCAAAAUUCAACAAAAUCUGACUGAAGAUAUAAUUCAAACACAGGCACUUAAAUUUUUAAGUUAUUCCAUAAAUAAAAAUAUAAUUAAGAUUAUGAAUAAAUCAUUUUAUAAAACCUAGCUUAAUCCGGGAUGGGGAACGACAAUGGUUAGGCAGAGUUAAAAAAACAUGUUUUGAAUCUAUUCAUCACAAGAAUAAACCAACUGAAUCAUUUUAAUGGUUAAUAACUUAUAAUAAUAUACAAAAUAGUACAACAAAUAAAAUUAAAAUUAAGAAAUUUCAGCUCUAUAUUUAACCGAUCUGCUGAAAACCUAUUCAUCAUCUAAAAAUUAAAAUUGAUAAUUCGUUCUUCAAUCUGAAAAUUUGAAAAACCAAGAAUAUAGGUAUAACAGACAAUAUAUAUAAAACAAUAUAAACCUCAAACCUAUUACAAAUUUCAUAACUACCAACAAAAUAUAGAAGAAUUAUAUUUUAAAUUAUCAUCUUACUAUUCAUAAAUAACAAUAUUAUAAGAUUUCAAAAAUGAAUUAUAAAUAAAUAAAACAUAAAAAUGGAUAACUUGAAAACUGACCAACGACGUAUGUGACACUAAUUUUAAAAGUGAAACAUAUAUAUGAUUUUGAAAUUAAAGAAUAAUUUAGAUAUGCGAAUUUGUGAUGGAUAAAUUAAUGGGUACUUCAAGAUAAUUCGAACGAACGGAUUAACAGAUUUAAUCAACGAAAGACGAUCCAAUGAUUUGAACGCAAUAGAAAUAAAUAAUAAAACAAAGAAACACCAAGACCACGAAGAGAAAGACCCAGGGAUAUAAAAAAACUCCCUGUACCAUCUCUUCUCCAAACCAAAAAAACUUUUUUUAUUAGGAUUUAGAGUGACCUGCCAUGCCAGCGCACCCAACAAGGCAAAGGUCGAGUUCAAUGUUACCACAAAUACAUGAAAAUACAUAUUGAUCGAAAAUACAGCACGAAAGAACCGAUCCUAUCAUCUUUUAUCCAUGAGACUAAAUCAUCUAGAACCAGCCUUUUCAGCUUGCAUUUUCAAGAAAAAGAUCCAAAUCCAAAGAUUAUUAGAGACGACAUCAGUUUGAUCUAAUUCAUUGACCACGUACACCACAAUAAUCGAACAUAAAGAAAUCAAGAGACGUAGACAAUAUCA